AGUAAAUUCCAUGAAUAGGUGCCAAUGCUACACUUCCUUAGCUAGGAGCUAGCAAUGCUACGUGGAAUUGCAUGUCGAAAAUAUUUAAAAAGUCAACCUGCCAUCUCUCCUGCCCUGCUCGUCCAAGUUCCCACUCUAGUUCCAGUACUGGCAGGCUUCACCACUAUAUCCCAGCAGGGUCCUGCUUGGCAUGUUCUCCCAGGUAUCUUCUGAGAGGUUGUUCUCUCUCCACUUCUCAUUCAAGUCUGAAGAUGCUUACAGUCACCUGCAGUACUUCUAAAUCAGAGUUUUGAGAUGGAAGAGGUCACAGCUCCAAUGAUCUCAGCCGAAGAAGAUGAGGAAGAAGACCAGCACAAGUGCUCUCCAAGGAAUGUCUUCCUGCCCGGUGUCCUGGACAACUGCCUGUCUUUAGAAUUAACAAAUGCUCUGACUUGCAGAGUCUCUCUCAAAUCAGCUUUUGCUGGUAUCAGGAUUUCUCUGGAGGACUCAACAAAGUCCUCUCCAUGCCUGAGAUUCCUACAAUGAUUGAAAUUCCAUUGUUUCUUCCCCGUGGAAUAACCAUAAGCUUCCUGAGGGAGUGCACCUCAGAGAGGCCUCGCCUGGGACUUGAAACAUCCAGCCCACUGUACGCUGUGGCAUUUGGACAGGUUCUUGCCUCGAGUUCCUGCUCUGCCUUCAUUUCACUAUACCUAGAAGCUGAAAUAAACUAUUUCCUCCACAA
This 721-nucleotide long non-coding RNA is filed under the name Mus musculus (house mouse). RNAcentral describes it as "predicted gene 12519". Lineage: Eukaryota; Metazoa; Chordata; Mammalia; Rodentia; Muridae. The record is from RNAcentral.